RNAcentral lists this ribosomal RNA (497 nucleotides) under uncultured bacterium. Its description in RNAcentral is "partial 16S ribosomal RNA". It matches the Rfam family "Bacterial small subunit ribosomal RNA", at positions 28 to 507 of the family's 1533-position model. The record is from RNAcentral.
GAUGAACGCUGGCGGCGUGCCUAAUACAUGCAAGUCGAGCGAACGGACGAGAAGCUUGCUUCUCUGAUGUUAGCGGCGGACGGGUGAGUAACACGUGGAUAACCUACCUAUAAGACUGGGAUAACUUCGGGAAACCGGAGCUAAUACCGGAUGAUAUUUUGAACCGCAUGGUUCAAAAGUGAAAGACGGUCUUGCUGUCACUUAUAGAUGGAUCCGCGCUGCAUUAGCUAGUUGGUAAGGUAACGGCUUACCAAGGCAACGAUGCAUAGCCGACCUGAGAGGGGGAUCGGCCACACUGGAACUGAGACACGGUCCAGACUCCUACGGGAGGCAGCAGUAGGGAAUCUUCCGCAAUGGGCGAAAGCCUGACGGAGCAGCGCCGCGUGAGUGAUGAAGGUCUUCGGAUCGUAAAACUCUGUUAUUAGGGAAGAACAUAUGUGUAAGUAACUGUGCACAUCUUGACGGUACCUAAUCAGAAAGCCACGGCUAACUACGUG